This 1492-nucleotide long non-coding RNA is filed under the name Marmota monax (woodchuck). Lineage: Eukaryota; Metazoa; Chordata; Mammalia; Rodentia; Sciuridae. The record is from RNAcentral.
CUAGUGUCCUUGUUUUGGUCUCCCCUAUUGUUUUUGGAUUUCCUGGAAGAUCUAAAUAGGGUCUGACCCUUGUGGUUCUGUCAGCUGUAUUAUAUGAGGGUACUAUUGAUAUGGAAGUAAAGUGAGGGAAGGGGAAGCAUUCUGUACUUCUUUGACCAGUGUUCAGUCUUUUAAUGAGCCUAUUGCCUGAGAUGUGACCUUCGUAAGUGCUUCUCAGCAUUUUUUCCAACUCUAAGAUGAGGUGUGAAGGAUAGAGAGGGCUGGUGUUAGAUACUCUCCUUUUCCUGCAAUGGUUAUAUUUUGGUAAAACCCAAGUUAGUUAAGUUCUGUUAAAAGUUCUCCUUGGGGGCAGGACUUGGUUAAGGAGAACAGAACUCUCUGGACAUAUUUCAAAAUGGCUACUUUUCAUCUGCCCUGGGGAAGAAUAAGGGGAUUUUUCUCUGUCCUUCAUCAUAAGAACCUGUGGGUAAAACUCAGACCAGUGUGGGAACCCCUGAUGUUUUCUCCCUUUCUCUUCUCUCCACAAUCUCCUAUAGUUAGUCAAUGAGCCUUUAAGUGUUUGAUACUGGCUCUAGCCAGUAGUUGGUUUAAGAUUGUAUUGGUCUAUCCAGCUUUUGGGGUGGUGGUUAACUCCGUGACCUCAGUUCUCUGGUAGAUCUGAGAAGAGUUGUCAAUUCUGAGGGUUUUUUCCAUUUAUUUUUUGUUAUGAGGUUAGGAAAGACAACUUCCAAGCCCUUUACAUGUCAUUUGGGAAUGGAAGUCUACUAGAAUUUAGACUUGUCUUGGACAAGAGAUGACAGUACAUUUAAGAAGAUUAAGAUAAUACUAAAUUAUUUUACACUCUGUGUGGUACAUUUAUAUUCAAGUAGGCACAUUUUCUGAUUACAUUUAUACUAUUUGCCAAUAAACAUAUAUAACUUCACAUUAACAUUUGAAACUAAAUAACUGCAAACAGGCUUAUAUUCUAAAAUAUUGCACAAUAUUUAGCCUGCAAUAUUGUUUUCUGUCAUUUUAGAAAAUCACAUAAAAUAAAAGAAUUGCCAUUCCCAUGAUUUCCAUCAGAGAUUUUUACUAAAGCAAAUACAUUAUACUUAUAGGUAUGACAGUGACAGGAAUAUAAGGCUUUAUAGUUUACCAUGUAUUUAACUAUUCUACUUGAUAAAUUCAUUACAAUCUCUUGGUGAGGCAGGUAGGACAGGAUCCUGGAGAAUCCAACUUCAGUAAGUUGCCUGAGGUCACAGAACUAUUAAAGGCUGGUCAGGAAUUCACAACCUAGUCUCUCAAUGCACAGGCUGUCUCCACAGAUCAUAGGCAGGUGGAAAGAUGAACUGAGCCUCCCUCAUAAUAAAUUUACCAACGUAGCAGCAAGUACUAAACAAAUAAUUAACACUGAAAGAAUGGGUAAAUGUUUGCAUUUUAAACAAUUCUCUAUUCCUCUGGAAAUAGAGAUGGAAGUCAUAGAGUCAUAUGAAGAGCUAGGAAUUUCAGAAGA